AACUUACUAGGCCUCAACCCAAUGUAAACAACAACCUUUUGCCUAACCACAAGAAUGCUAAUGUGAACAUGAUAACUAUUGAGGAAGAUUUGGAUUUGAUAGGAACUGUUGUACCAAUUGGCAAGGUUGAAAAGGACACAUCAUUGAUCUUUGAGCUCCUACAAUAACAGUCCAAUAACCAACAUCAAUGGAGGUUACUACUACUAGCACUGAGACACUGACCAUUUGGGGUGCUGAAUCAGAUGAAACUUUGAAGAAUUAGACUUAUACUUCAUAUCUGAUUCGUCG
RNAcentral lists this long non-coding RNA (288 nucleotides) under Capsicum annuum. RNAcentral describes it as "long non-coding RNA (CANN_LNC021894)". The record is from RNAcentral. Lineage: Eukaryota; Viridiplantae; Streptophyta; Magnoliopsida; Solanales; Solanaceae.